Long non-coding RNA from Felis catus (domestic cat), 1656 nucleotides. RefSeq lists it as uncharacterized. NCBI's taxonomy places the organism in Eukaryota, Metazoa, Chordata, Mammalia, Carnivora, Felidae. The transcript has 4 exons. The record is from RefSeq and is a predicted model, not a curated record.
GCUCUGAGCCAUCAUCAGCCCAGAGCCCGACGCGGGGCUCGAACUCCCGGAAUGCGAGAUCGUGACCUGGCUGAAGUCGGACGCUUAACCGACUGCGCCACCCAGGCGCCCCAAGAAUGUGUCCUCCUGUUGUAGCCAAACGUUGAAGCAUCUUUACAAAGUCCUGGGUGAAGCUUGCAGACCCUCUGGCUCUGUGUUGUCCUCACCUCCAGCCUGGGCAAGCCACCCACCUGCCAAUGCUCAAUGUUGCCUUUUUACAGAGCCCGAAUAGAGAGAAGGGGCAGAGGCGGGAAUCCCACGGAGCAGCUUAGCUGAGCUCUGGACAGUCUGUCCUGGGAUGCCCGGCCCUCAGCAGUAGCCAUCGACGGAGGAACAGAUAUGUUUGUUUGUUAAAUGUUUAUUUUUGAGAAAGAGAGUGGGGGAGGGGCAGAGAGAGGGGACACAGAGGAUCCGAAGCAGGCUCUGUGUGAUCAGCACAGAGCCCAACACUGGGCUCGAAUUCACGGACCGUGAGAUCAUGACCUGAGCCGAAGUCGGACACUCAACGGACUGAGUUGCCCAGGUGCCGCAAGGACCAGAUCUGUUCAAGGACAUAGGUCCUGCUUUCUGCAGCCCCCAGAACGUACGCUGAAUCGAGGCCGUCACGACGAAGCCUGGAGCGCAUAGGCUCGCUGCUGUUUGCAGUCCUGUUCUCAGCCAUUGCCCCCAGGUGCAUGGCGGGAGCCCUGCGACAAAUCAGGGACCUCGGGGAGACGGAGGUUGUUGGAUAUUUCAGUUAUAUUCUACCUGACCUGAUAUCUGGAGGCCUCUCCUUGAGGUUGGCCUGUACUGUCGUAAGUUGUUCCGAGCAAAGCGAGGGGCGCCCGAGGCCCCACGCCUGAGGCCCCCCAGGAACCUGUCCAGGUGGACCCUAUCACUGUCCCUGUAAGAGGCCCCGUGCUCUCGGCCCCCGGGAACCUGCCCAGGUGGACCCCAUCACCAUUUGCCCAGCCGGUGGUGCUAUUGCUGAUUCAGACUCGGAGCUUGGUGCUCUCUGCGUGUGGUUGAUUAGAGCGGCUGGGAAUUGCUCUAGGAUGUUCUCCGUUCCUGCAGGGCCAGUGGAGCUGGCCAGUCCCUUACAGGAUGGGAAUAAGAAUGGCUUUUGGUCAGCCAGCAGGACAUGUUUGGGGGAGAUGCCCAGAGGGCGAAGGACGCUGGAACAGUCAAGCCUGCUUGGGACCGGUGAGCAAGGUGGAAAUUCCACAAGGUGCCACGUUCUAGAACUCACGACAGGUCUAGAGGCCACAUCUGCACUGCACUAGUGGGGGCUGACUCGGAUUCCAGCGACAUCUACUGGGACACCCUGGGGAAGGGAGCAGCCACAUACAAGACCGGGCACUGGAGAGGUCCACUGCAGAUCUUUCCAGUGACAAUGCCUAAGGUAUGAAUCUCUGCCAGUGGACCAUGCUGGAGCACGGAGGAGGAAAGACUUGCCUUCCUGCUUCCAGUGUGCUUACUCAUCAGGCCCCCCAAAACUUCUCUCCAACACAAGAGCAACAGGAAACCUGGAAAAAAUGGUCAGAAACAACAUUUUUGAAGCUCUAGAAAUUAGGGCCGCCUGGGUGGCUCAGUCGGUUAAGCGGCCGACUUCAGCUCGGGUCACGAGCUCAGGUCACG